AGCGAACGCUGGCGGCAGGCCUAACACAUGCCAGUCGAACGGAUCCUUCGGGAUUAGUGGCGGACGGGUGAGUAACACGUGGGAACGUGCCCUUUGGUUCGGAACAACUCAGGGAAACUUGAGCUAAUACCGGAUGUGCCCUUCGGGGGAAAGAUUUAUCGCCAUUGGAGCGGCCCGCGUCUGAUUAGCUAGUUGGUGAGGUAACGGCCCACCAAGGCGACGAUCAGUAGCUGGUCUGAGAGGAUGAUCAGCCACACUGGGACUGAGACACGGCCCAGACUCCUACGGGAGGCAGCAGUGGAGAAUCUUGCGCAAUGGGCGAAAGCCUGACGCAGCCAUGCCGCGUGAAUGAUGAAGGUCUUAGGAUUGUAAAAUUCUUUCAGCGGGGACGAUAAUGACGGUACCCGCAGAAGAAGCUCCGGCUAACUUCGUG
This 433-nucleotide ribosomal RNA is filed under the name uncultured bacterium. RNAcentral's name for it is "partial 16S ribosomal RNA". It matches the Rfam family "Bacterial small subunit ribosomal RNA", at positions 29 to 507 of the family's 1533-position model. The record is from RNAcentral.